Molecule: ribosomal RNA, 245 nt
Filed under: uncultured bacterium
Lineage: Bacteria
Description: partial small subunit ribosomal RNA
Rfam family: Bacterial small subunit ribosomal RNA
Source: RNAcentral
AGAAUCAACGCUGGCGGCGUGCCUAACACAUGCAAGUCGAACGAGAAAGUGGAGCAAUCCAUGAGUAAAGUGGCGCACGGGUGAGUAACGCGUGACUAACCUACCCUUGAGUGGGGAAUAACUGAGGGAAACCUUAGCUAAUACCGCAUAAUACCUACGGGUCAAAGGAGCAAUUCGCUUAAGGAGGGGGUCGCGGCAGAUUAGCUAGUUGGCGGGGUAAUGGCCCACCAAGGCAGUGAUCUGUA